Molecule: ribosomal RNA, 466 nt
Filed under: uncultured bacterium
Lineage: Bacteria
Description: bacterial SSU rRNA
Rfam family: Bacterial small subunit ribosomal RNA
Source: RNAcentral
GGCCAGACUCCUACGGGAGGCAGCAGUGAGGAAUAUUGGUCAAUGGCCGGAAGGCUGAACCAGCCAUGCCGCGUGAAGGUCAGUGCCCUAUGGGCGUUAAACUUCUUUUGUGCGGGAGCAAUAAUGGUCACGUGUGGCCAGACGAGAGUACCGUACGAAUAAGCAUCGGCUAACUCCGUGCCAGCAGCCGCGGUAAUACGGGGGAUGCAAGCGUUAUCCGGAUUUAUUGGGUUUAAAGGGUGCGCAGGCGGAAGAUCAAGUCAGGGGUAAAAUUGAGAGGCUCACCCUCUUCGAGCCGUUGAAACUGGUUUUCUUGAGUGAGUGAGAAGUAUGCGGAAUGCGUGGUGUAGCGGUGAAAUGCAUAGAUAUCGCGCAGAACUCCGAUUGCGAAGGCAGCAUACCGGCGCCCAACUGACGCUCAGGCACGAAAGCGUGGGUAUCGAACAGGAUUAGAUACCCGGGUAGU